Chinchilla lanigera (long-tailed chinchilla) is the source of this 718-nucleotide long non-coding RNA. RefSeq lists it as uncharacterized. The record is from RefSeq and is a predicted model, not a curated record. Lineage: Eukaryota; Metazoa; Chordata; Mammalia; Rodentia; Chinchillidae. The transcript is spliced from 3 exons.
CACAGUCCCUGAGGGGAGCCUCUUAGAGCGUGAUGCAUAAAGUCGGAACAGUGAAGCCAAAGCUGCAUUAGAGAUGCUAGGAAGUUAGAGAUGCCAGGAACAUGGAAGGUCUGCUGAGAAAAGCCACAGGCCGUAUUUUCAACUUAAUACCUCACCUGCCUUGGUCAUUCGUGCCUGGGAAAAGGCCAGAAGAAUCACUGAGAUGCCAACCUUGGCAUUAUGAAGCCGCUGAAUCAAUACCAGCAGCUGCCUUUCUCCAGAUUCGUGUAUUAAUGUGAAAAGUGAUCUCUCUGUGUUAAGCUAGGUUGUCUUUCACUUGCAGCACAGCAUUCCUAUCUGAUGCACACAGUUCUGAAAACAAAACUGUCUGUGUUCAUGACUCAUUUUGCCCAGAAGCUUACCGCGCAGUUCCAACACUGUCAGAAGGCAGACAGAAUCAAAAGCCCGCAUGACUGUGUUUGUGUACAGCAUUCCUGAGCAUGUUAUGUGUCUACAGGUAAUUUCUGGCUACUGUACAAAGGAAUAUAUUAAGAUUAAAAGCAGAAGCUACCACCUAUGCUUCAUCAUGGAGACACUCAUGAAAGAGGACUUCCAGAAGUGCUACGGAGAACGGCAAGAACAAUGAGUGUCUGAAGUUCGGGUGAGUAUUUUGAGAGGGAUAAUGGCAAUGUUAUGUACACGCACCAACUCCCUCUGAGAAACAGAAUCAGCAUGUACU